This 1049-nucleotide long non-coding RNA is filed under the name Homo sapiens (human). RNAcentral's name for it is "HSALNT0371116". The record is from RNAcentral. Lineage: Eukaryota; Metazoa; Chordata; Mammalia; Primates; Hominidae.
CUGCACCUGGCCAAAUGUGCAUUUUUAAGGUUAUCACCACAGAUUGAUUGGCAUGAGCUCAUGUGCCAUCAGGUGCAUGAAUCAUCCAACAGGACAAACAGCUGGCACAUGGUGGGUACUCCAUACAUAUCUGAUGGAUAAUGAAUGAACCUCUUAACUGCCGUCUGGCCCAGAACUGACCAGGUGGUAAUCAGUGGUCAGUGAGGUGCAACAUGAACUGGGCCCUCUCUGCUUCCCUCCCUUUUCAUCCUGCCUUAUUGAGAUACAAUUCAUAUACCAUAAAAUCCAUCCUUUUAAAGUGUUAUAUGGCAGAUGCGGUGGCUCAUGCCUGUAAUCCUAGCAUUUUGGGAGGCCGAGGUGGGCGGAUUGCUUGAGGUCAGGAGUUCAAGACCAGCCUGGCCAACAUGGUGAAACCCCAUCUCUUCUAAAAAUACAAAAAAAAAAAAAAAUUAGCCAGGCGUGGUGGUGUACGCCUGUAGUCCUAGCUACUCAGGAGGCUGAGGCAGGAGAGUCACUUGAACCCAGGAGGUGGAGGUGGUAGUGAGCCGAGAUUGCACCACUGUACUCCAUCCUGGGCAACAGAGCGAGACUUCGUCUCAAAAUAAAUAAAUAAAGUGUUAUACUUCAGUGGUUUCUGGUAUAUUCUCAGAGUUGUUCAAACAUCACCACUAUCUAAUUUCAAAACAUCUUAUUGCCCCAAAAAAGAAACCCUGUACCCAUUAGCAGUCAUUCCCCAAUCCCUCCUCUGCCCAGCCCUGGCAACCACUGUCUACUUUCUGUUCUGUGGAUUUGGAGUAGAAUCAUAUAGUAUGUGGCCUCUUGUGACUGGCUUCCUUCUCUUGGCAUGAUGUUUAAAGGUUCAUCUACAUUGUAGUGUGUGUCAGGAUUUCAUUUCUUUUUGUGGCUGAAUCAUAUUCCAUGGUAUGCAUGCACCACAUUUUGUCUACGGAUAUUUGAGUUGUUUCCACAUUUUGGCUAUUAUUAAUGCUGCUAUACACAUUUGGCAGAGUGCAGUGGCUCACACCUGUAAUCCCAGCACUUUGGGAGGC